RNAcentral lists this ribosomal RNA (480 nucleotides) under uncultured bacterium. RNAcentral describes it as "bacterial SSU rRNA". It matches the Rfam family "Bacterial small subunit ribosomal RNA", at positions 47 to 516 of the family's 1533-position model. The record is from RNAcentral.
CCUAACACAUGCAAGUCGAACGGUAACAGGAAGAAGCUUGCUUCUUUGCUGACGAGUGGCGGACGGGUGAGUAAUGUCUGGGAAACUGCCUGAUGGAGGGGGAUAACUACUGGAAACGGUAGCUAAUACCGCAUAACGUCGCAAAACCAAAGAGGGGGACCUUCGGGCCUCUUGCCAUCGGAUGUGCCCAGAUGGGAUUAGCUAGUAGGUGGGGUAACGGCUCACCUAGGCGACGAUCCCUAGCUGGUCUGAGAGGAUGACCAGCCACACUGGAACUGAGACACGGUCCAGACUCCUACGGGAGGCAGCAGUGGGGAAUAUUGCACAAUGGGCGCAAGCCUGAUGCAGCCAUGCCGCGUGUAUGAAGAAGGCCUUCGGGUUGUAAAGUACUUUCAGCGGGGAGGAAGGGAGUAAAGUUAAUACCUUUGCUCAUUGACGUUACCCGCAGAAGAAGCACCGGCUAACUCCGUGCCAGCAGCC